Molecule: long non-coding RNA, 2491 nt
Organism: Harpia harpyja (harpy eagle)
Lineage: Eukaryota; Metazoa; Chordata; Aves; Accipitriformes; Accipitridae
Exons: 3
Source: RefSeq, a predicted model, not a curated record
GGAGCAAGAAAGUGGGCACAGAGGGUGAGCCAUGAACUCCACAUUGGUGACAUCUAGAAGAACCACAGCAUCUUUAAGAUGUAACUAAUUAUCAGCACACCUGUAAGCAGUGUUUCCUGGAAGAGCUACCAUGUAUUUCUGCUGUGAUGAAGGAGUCAGACUGACGGAUGAUAUGCAUAUGGAUGUCACCUCCAGUAUAAAUACUGCAGGAAAAGAGUCUCAUCCAAGUGGAUUUUCGAUAAAUGCAACCUGUACCUGGAUUUUUUUCAUCUGCCACAAGCAAGAUUUUGUAGGCAAGGUGCUGAAAUCAGGAGGGCACUCGGUGUGUGCUGGUAGCCAUGGGAGCACGGGCAGUAAGGAGAAAGGCAGCAGAAAGCAGCUGACUGGGAAGAGCUGGAGGAGACUACACUGGCGUGACAUGUACUGGAGCCUCCUGGGGAAGGUGGACCCAAGGAGGAGGCAGGCGUAAGGCAUGCGAUAAAUGGAGAACUCCAAGUUUGGAGGAGCUUGAUCUUAGCGGAAAGGAGGUAGGUCGGUAGCAUGGUGUGGGGAGUGAGGGAUUGUAGCAUGUGUUUGUGAGAAAAGGCAGGAAAGGAGGAGGCUUGCAAUAACAGAUUGGGGUGUGCGGACUUGCAGCAAAGGAGUGAGGACUUGUUACUUGGGAGAAGGAGUACUCUAAGGGACAGGGAUGUGAUGGGAGGAGUGGGGAGCACAGCAUACUGCAGAUCAAAAGUCUUAAGGGUUACUUAAGGGCAGUCUGUGUCCUUACCACCUUGUAAAGCAGGCACAGGCAUGGAAGCACAGACGUGAACAGCGUUGUUCCCCACCCAUCCCUUCUAGUGCUGCUACAGGGAUGUUCUCCUCUCUCCCCUGCUCCACAUUUUUACUUUUUGGAAAUGUGGUAGCUCAAAAUAAGUACCUUAAACUCACGUAAUCCAAAACACUGGGGUAAAUGUUUUUUACCUGACAAAUGUUACCUGACAUAUCCUGUAUAUUGAAUGGUGAACAAAAAAUCAACACACAAAUGUUUACUUUCAACAAUCAUAGUGUUUUAUUGGCUGUAUGUAGGAAACUUCCCUUGCUCUCAUUAAUUCAUUGCAUCUGUUUUUCACUCUGAUGACGAACACACACAGAUAUAGCAGCCUUCCAGUACUUAAAGGGGGCCUACAUGAAAGAUGGGGAGGGACCCUUUAUUAGGGAGUGUACUGAUAGGACAAGGGGUAACGGUUUUAAACUGAAAGAGGGUAUAUUUACAUUAGAUAUAAGGAAGAAAUUCUUCAGUAUGAGGAUAGUGAGGCACUGGAAGAGGUUGCCCAGAGAGGUUGUGGAUGCCCCAUCCCUGGCAGUGUUCAAGGCCAGGUUGGAUGGGGCUUGGAGCAACCUGCUGUAGUGGAAGGUGUCCCUGCCCAUGGCAGGGGACUUGGAACCAGGUGAUCUUUAAUGUCCCUUCCAACCCAAACCAUUGUAUGAUUCUAUGACUACACGAAUAUCUGUGUAAUGUAUUCUGACAAACUUUUCCCAUAUGAAGAAUUGCUACAAUGUGAAUUUAUCACUGGAAUGCAUAUAAAAUACUAUCAGUCAGAUGUUUAUCUCAGUAAUAGCACUGUAUUUUGUUAGCAAUGCUCCAUAACUACACUGCUAUAACUGAAAUUACAACCUGGUUCAGAAACAGGAAUAGAACCAUUAUAUACAUGAAAGGCUGAAAAAAUAUCUCAAUAUAUGUUCUUAAUCCUCUCAUGUGCUCAACUCUAAACACUUAAUUAAUGCUAGCUUUGGUAUUUACUUUCUUUGACUUACAAAAAGGGGGAGAAGAGAAAAGAAUACAACUAUAUUUCUUGAAAGAAACCUGAAUAAAACUGAAGUGCUUCGGGUCAGCUUUGCAGCUUGUGAAAAAUCAAUGUUGCUUCAAUUACUCCAUUGACUUCAAUGUACUGAUGUUGAUUUACAGUAGUGGGGAGCUACACGAUGAUUAAUAAUAAGAAUACCUUGGACUUUGAUAGUGCUUUCUAUCUUGAGAUUCCUAAUUGCUUGUCAAACUCUGUCUCUACCUUAUAGUUUGUGAAGAUGAAGUAUUGUAUUCAGGACCUAAUAAACACUUUUAAUUCAAGACAAUUACUGAUCUAUUCAGAUGAAUGUCUUAUUAAGAAGUCUUAUUUAAUUUUCUUAUUUUUAUGUACAUGAUACAAGCAAGAGAAAUGCCUGGAGGCAGUUGAAACUGUCGUUUGUGAACAGUCCUUUUUAGCAGUGUAAAACCUCUUUGAAACUCAAAUGCAGCCUUCCAUCCUGCUGUCGUGUUGCAGACAAGGUGAGUAACUGUCUUAAAUCUAAAAUCUUGGCAAGAUACUAUACAAUCAACCCUUGAGAUGAUCCAGGUUACUUAUCUACUGCUCACUCUGUGUUCCCUUCAGUUUGCUGCAUAAUCCACAGAUGCGGUUGAGCCGUUUCUUUCCUAAGCAGAAUUUUUUCUUGGCCCCAUCAAGCUUUUCUUAAU